Molecule: ribosomal RNA, 275 nt
Filed under: uncultured bacterium
Lineage: Bacteria
Description: partial 16S ribosomal RNA
Rfam family: Bacterial small subunit ribosomal RNA
Source: RNAcentral
GCGUGAGUGAUGAAGGCCCUAGGGUUGUAAAGCUCUUUCAGCAGGGAAGAUGAUGACGGUACCUGCAGAAGAAGCCCCGGCUAACUCCGUGCCAGCAGCCGCGGUAAUACGGAGGGGGCUAGCGUUGCUCGGAAUUACUGGGCGUAAAGAGCACGUAGGCGGAUAGUCAAGUCAGGCGUGAAAGCCCCGGGCUCAACCCGGGAACUGCGCUUGAUACUGAUUGUCUUGAGUCCGAGAGAGGGUGGUGGAAUUCCCAGUGUAGAGGUGAAAUUCGU